CACGUAGUUAGCCGCAGCUUCUUCUUCAGGUACCGUCAUUAUCGUUCCUGCCGAAAGAGCUUUACACCCCGAGGGGCUUCAUCGCUCACGCGGCGUCGCUGCAUCAGAGUUUCCUCCAUUGUGCAAGAUUCCCCACUGCUGCCUCCCGUAGGAGUCUGGCCCGUGUUUCAGUGCCAGUGUGGCCGUGUGCCCUCUCAGGCCGGCUACCGAUCGUCGCCUUGGUGAGCCAUUACCUCACCAACUAGCUAAUCGGCCGCGGACUCUUCUUCCAGCGCAUUGCUGCUUUCCCUUUACAGGCUUAUGCGGUAUUAGCUUCGGUUUCCCAAAGUUAUUCCCCACUAAAAGGUAGAUAAUCCACGUGUUACUCACCCGUACGCCGCUUUACUCAGAGGUUGCCCCCUUUUUCUCGCUCGACUUGCAUGUGUUAAGCGCGCCGCCAGCGUUGAUUCUGAGCCAGGAUCAAACUCU
Molecule: ribosomal RNA, 468 nt
Filed under: uncultured bacterium
Lineage: Bacteria
Description: partial 16S ribosomal RNA
Source: RNAcentral